UACAGUUGUUCAACCAGUUACUAAUCUAGCUAAUUGUAACCAGUUGAACAACUGAACC
This 58-nucleotide microRNA precursor is filed under the name Canis lupus familiaris (dog). RNAcentral's name for it is "Cfa-Mir-582-v2_pre stem-loop". Lineage: Eukaryota; Metazoa; Chordata; Mammalia; Carnivora; Canidae. The record is from RNAcentral.